GGCCAGUUAGCUCAGUCAGUUAGAGCAUGGUGCUGAUAACACCAAGGUCAUGGGUUCGGUACCCAUGUGUUGCCU
Apaloderma vittatum (bar-tailed trogon) is the source of this 75-nucleotide non-coding RNA. NCBI's taxonomy places the organism in Eukaryota, Metazoa, Chordata, Aves, Trogoniformes, Trogonidae. The record is from Rfam.